GAGAGGACCGGAGUGGACGCAUCACUGGUGUUCGGGUUGUCAUGCCAAUGGCACUGCCCGGUAGCUAAAUGCGGAAGAGAUAAGUGCUGAAAGCAUCUAAGCACGAAACUUGCCCCGAGAUGAGUUCUCCCUGACUCCUUGAGAGUCCUGAAGGAACGUUGAAGACGACGACGUUGAUAGGCCGGGUGUGUAAGCGCAGCGAUGCGUUGAGCUAACCGGUACUAAUGAACCGUGAGGCUUAACCUU
RNAcentral lists this ribosomal RNA (246 nucleotides) under Escherichia coli. Its description in RNAcentral is "partial 23S ribosomal RNA". It matches the Rfam family "Bacterial large subunit ribosomal RNA", at positions 2685 to 2925 of the family's 2925-position model. Lineage: Bacteria; Pseudomonadati; Pseudomonadota; Gammaproteobacteria; Enterobacterales; Enterobacteriaceae. The record is from RNAcentral.